This 281-nucleotide ribosomal RNA is filed under the name Proteus mirabilis. RNAcentral describes it as "partial 16S ribosomal RNA". It matches the Rfam family "Bacterial small subunit ribosomal RNA", at positions 1262 to 1533 of the family's 1533-position model. The record is from RNAcentral. Lineage: Bacteria; Pseudomonadati; Pseudomonadota; Gammaproteobacteria; Enterobacterales; Morganellaceae.
AGCAAGCGGAACUCAUAAAGUCUGUCGUAGUCCGGAUUGGAGUCUGCAACUCGACUCCAUGAAGUCGGAAUCGCUAGUAAUCGUAGAUCAGAAUGCUACGGUGAAUACGUUCCCGGGCCUUGUACACACCGCCCGUCACACCAUGGGAGUGGGUUGCAAAAGAAGUAGGUAGCUUAACCUUCGGGAGGGCGCUUACCACUUUGUGAUUCAUGACUGGGGUGAAGUCGUAACAAGGUAACCGUAGGGGAACCUGCGGUUGGAUCACCUCCUUACCUAAGAGA